UGGGGAAUAUUGGACAAUGGGGGCAACCCUGAUCCAGCCAUGCCGCGUGCGUGAAGAAGGCCUUAGGGUUGUAAAGCGCUUUCGGCGGGGAAGAUGAUGACGGUACCCGCAAAAGAAGCCCCGGCUAACUCCGUGCCAGCAGCCGCGGUAAUACGGAGGGGGCUAGCGUUGUUCGGAAUUACUGGGCGUAAAGGGCGCGUAGGCGGGCGACUAAGUCAGAGGUGAAAGGCCUGGGCUCAACCUGGGAACUGCCUUUGAAACUAGUUGUCUAGAGUCCGGAAGAGGAUGGCGGAAUUCCCAGUGUAGAGGUGAAAUUCGUAGAUAUUGGGAAGAACACCAGUGGCGAAGGCGGCCAUCUGGUCCGGUACUGACGCUGAGGCGCGAAAGCGUGGGGAGCAAACAGGAUUAGAUACCCUGGUAGUCCACGCCGUAAACGAUGUGUGCUAGCCGUUGGGAAACCUAGUUUCUCGGUGGCGCAGCUAACGCGAUAAGCACACCGCCUGGGGAGUACGGUCGCAAGAUUA
Molecule: ribosomal RNA, 524 nt
Filed under: uncultured bacterium
Lineage: Bacteria
Description: bacterial SSU rRNA
Rfam family: Bacterial small subunit ribosomal RNA
Source: RNAcentral